This 221-nucleotide long non-coding RNA is filed under the name Lathyrus oleraceus (garden pea). RNAcentral describes it as "Pisum sativum (pea) long non-coding RNA (PSAT_LNC005754)". The record is from RNAcentral. Lineage: Eukaryota; Viridiplantae; Streptophyta; Magnoliopsida; Fabales; Fabaceae.
AAAAGAUGGAUGUAAGAUCUAAGGCUAAUGUCAAGAACAUCUCAUCUGACAUCAGUAAAUCCAACCGUGUUGGAAGAAGAACAAGGUCAGAUGAUAAGCCCAAAGAAGGAAAAGAAGUAUAGUGCUAUGAAUGUGAUGGGUAUGGACACAUUAGAACUGAAUGUGGAACUUACCUCAAGAAGUAGAAGAUGAGUCUUGUUGCCACUUGGUCUGAUGAGAGU